RNAcentral lists this ribosomal RNA (122 nucleotides) under Populus trichocarpa (black cottonwood). Lineage: Eukaryota; Viridiplantae; Streptophyta; Magnoliopsida; Malpighiales; Salicaceae. The record is from RNAcentral.
GGGUGCGAUCAUACCAACACUAAUGCACCGGAUCGCAUCAGAACUCUGCAGUUAAACGUGCUUGGGGGAGAGUAGUACUAGGAUGGGUGACCUCCUGGGAAGUCCUUGUGUUGCACCCUUCC